Molecule: ribosomal RNA, 430 nt
Filed under: Pseudomonadota bacterium
Lineage: Bacteria; Pseudomonadati; Pseudomonadota
Description: Proteobacteria bacterium partial 16S ribosomal RNA
Rfam family: Bacterial small subunit ribosomal RNA
Source: RNAcentral
UGGGGAAUAUUGGACAAUGGGGGGAACCCUGAUCCAGCCAUGCCGCGUGUGUGAAGAAUGCCUUAUGGUUGUAAAGCACUUUAAGCGAGGAGGAGGGUACUGGUAUUAAUACUACCAGGUACUGGACGUUACUCGCAGAAUAAGCAACGGCUAACUCUGUGCCAGCAGCCGCGGUAAUACAGAGGGUGCGAGCGUUAAUCGGAUUUACUGGGCGUAAAGCGUGCGUAGGCGGCUAAUUGAGUCGGAUGUGAAAUCCCCGAGCUUAACUUGGGAAUUGCAUUCGAUACUGGUUAGCUAGAGUGUGGGAGAGGAUGGUAGAAUUCCAGGUGUAGCGGUGAAAUGCGUAGAGAUCUGGAGGAAUACCGAUGGCGAAGGCAGCCAUCUGGCCUAACACUGACGCUGAGGUACGAAAGCAUGGGGAGCAAACAGG